GCCUGGCAUGGUGGCGUGUGCCUGUAGUCCCAGCUACUUGGGAGGCUGAGGCUGGAGGAUCGCUUGAGUCCAGAAGUUCUGGGCUAUAGUGCGUUAUACCAAUUUGGGUGUCUGCACUAAGUUCAGCAUCAAUAUGGUGACUUCCCGGGAGCGGGGGACCACCAGGUUGCCUAAGGAGGAAUGAACCGGCCCAGGUCAGAAAUGGAGCAGGUCAAAACUCCCAUGCUGAUUAGUAGUGGGAUUGUGUGUGAAUAGCCACUGCACUCCAGCCUGGGCAACAUAGUGAGACCCUGUCUUUA
Molecule: unclassified non-coding RNA, 299 nt
Organism: Callithrix jacchus (white-tufted-ear marmoset)
Lineage: Eukaryota; Metazoa; Chordata; Mammalia; Primates; Cebidae
Rfam family: Metazoan signal recognition particle RNA
About the family: The signal recognition particle (SRP) is a universally conserved ribonucleoprotein. It is involved in the co-translational targeting of proteins to membranes.
Source: Ensembl